UGAGGAAUAUUGGGCAAUGCCCGCAAGGGUGACCCAGCAACGCCGCGUGGAGGAUGAAUGUCGUAAGAUUGUAAACUCCUGUUAGAGGGGAAGAAUAGUACCGGUUGGACCGGUAUAUGACUGUACCCUCAGAGAAAGCCCCGGCUAACUACGUGCCAGCAGCCGCGGUAAUACGUAGGGGGCAAGCGUUGUCCGGAUUUACUGGGUGUAAAGGGCGCGCAGGCGGGAUAAAAAGUCAGUGGUGAAAUCCUACAGCUUAACUGUAGAACUGCCUUUGAUACUUUUAUUCUUGAGUUCGGGAGAGAGAGACGGAAUUCCAGGUGUAGUGGUGAAAUACGUAGAUAUCUGGAAGAACACCAGUUGCGAAGGCUGUCUCUUGGUCCGACACUGACGCUGAGGCGCGAAAGCGUGGGGAGCAAACA
This 422-nucleotide ribosomal RNA is filed under the name uncultured bacterium. RNAcentral's name for it is "bacterial SSU rRNA". It matches the Rfam family "Bacterial small subunit ribosomal RNA", at positions 355 to 774 of the family's 1533-position model. The record is from RNAcentral.